Molecule: non-coding RNA, 125 nt
Organism: Hordeum vulgare subsp. vulgare (domesticated barley)
Lineage: Eukaryota; Viridiplantae; Streptophyta; Magnoliopsida; Poales; Poaceae
Source: Rfam
AUUAUAUUCCCUCCGUCCUGAAUUACUUGCCGUAGAGAUGGAUAAAAAUGGAUGUAUAUAGAACCAAAAUAUGUAUAGGUACAUCCAUUUCCACGACAAGCAUUUCCGGACAGAGGGAGUAGAAG